AAGAUUUUAAGUUAAUUAAACUAUUAAUUUUCAAAAUUAAAUAUAAAGAUCAAUCUUCUUUAAGUCUUA
RNAcentral lists this transfer RNA (69 nucleotides) under Hydropsyche angustipennis. RNAcentral describes it as "tRNA-Trp". Lineage: Eukaryota; Metazoa; Arthropoda; Insecta; Trichoptera; Hydropsychidae. The record is from RNAcentral.